CGGGACGGGUGAGUAACGCGUGGAUAACCUGCCUUUCACAGGGGGAGUAACAGCUGGAAACGGCUGCUAAUACCGCAUGAGCCUCUUUUAUCGCAUGAGGAGAGAGGGAAAGAGAAAUCGGUGAGAGAUGGAUCCGCGUCCGAUUAGCUAGUUGGAGGGGUAACAGCCCACCAAGGCGACGAUCGGUAGCCGACCUGAGAGGGUGGACGGCCACAUUGGGACUGAGACACGGCCCAAACUCCUACGGAAGGCAGCAG
RNAcentral lists this ribosomal RNA (257 nucleotides) under uncultured bacterium. RNAcentral's name for it is "partial 16S ribosomal RNA". It matches the Rfam family "Bacterial small subunit ribosomal RNA", at positions 98 to 354 of the family's 1533-position model. The record is from RNAcentral.